Molecule: ribosomal RNA, 253 nt
Filed under: uncultured bacterium
Lineage: Bacteria
Description: partial 16S ribosomal RNA
Rfam family: Bacterial small subunit ribosomal RNA
Source: RNAcentral
UACGGAGGGUGCGAGCGUUGUCCGGAAUCACUGGGCGUAAAGGGCGCGUAGGUGGCGCGAGGAGUCUGUGGUGAAAGCCCGAGGCUCAACUUCGGGUCGGCCGCGGAUACUCUCGUGCUGGAGGGUGGUAGAGGCCAAUGGAAUUCCGGGUGUAGCGGUGGAAUGCGUAGAGAUCCGGAAGAACACCGGUGGCGAAGGCGGUUGGCUGGGCCACACCUGACACUGAGGCGCGACAGCGUGGGGGGCAAACAGG